GUUCUAGGCUGGACCUACAAAGGACCUGAGAAUGUCCUUUUUCAUCCAAGAAGGUCCGGUAGAUUCCAGGACACAUUGAGUAUUUGAAUCUGCCCUCAACUGGCCUCCGCUUUUUCCCAAGAGAAUCUGGGGUGACCAAGAUGCUGGGGCACCCUUGACCUCUGUCAUCUGAACUCUUAGGACAGUGUCUGUCUCCCAAAUAUUCUCAGCCUUGAGGUUGUCCCUUCUAACUUGGGCUGAAGGGGCACUAACAUUCCAGCUGACACCUGACAGAUGAAACCGUGCUCAGAGGGAGGGACUGAAGCACCGCCCUCACUGCCAGCCUCCGGCUGGGGGCCAUGAGCCUGUGACGACGCUAAAACAGCUGUCCUUGGUGACUAUAACCCCUUCUUCAUGAAGGAAAUUAGGGUUCAAAUAAGUCAUCUCCUAAAUCUGACCCAGGUACACACUGGCCCUCCAGGAGUUUGAACACAGCGCUGCCCGACUCGGGUCAGGACUGGCACCGGGUUCACGCCGACACCCCCUCCGCUCAUCAGACCCCCGUACACAGUCUCAGUCCCCUCUGAGGACUCAGGUAUGUUUCCAGCUGUGUGCACUGCAUUCUCCAGAAUGGACCACGCAAGUCACCCUCGAAUUAAAGCGGAAGAGUUUAGCGGAGCAAAUCCAAAGCUGUGUGAGAAGACAUCUGAGCAGAAAACCCUCUGAGAGGCGACCCCCUUCUCUCCAGCACGAGAUCUGUCCCACCCGACCUGAUGCUGACCUUGGGACCCAAGGCCUGAAGGGAACAACUCGGACUCACCGGCCACAGAGGGGCGGGGCUCAGGCAGAGCCAGGGUUCGACAAGGGAAAGGGGCUGAAACGCAGUCCAUACAAAUGAGCGAGUGACAGGUACCUGGUGGGCACCUGGGGGGUGCCUCUCACCACUUCUUGGAACUGAACUCAAGAUUUUGUUUUCGCCAGUCUCGUGAGCUGUGUUGAGGUGGACAUUGAACCAGCCGUGUGAGCAACAGUCUGUGUUUGCAGGAGGACGGGCUUUGGGGGACACCAUCCGCCGGCCCACCGGCCCCCCGGCCUGGUAGUAGCCUGGAUAACUUCCGCAGAGACUUCCAGGGAUGCUGUUGGUUAGAGGACCACGAGUCUGUCCUCUAACCCAGCUCCAGGGCAGGGACUGACUCCAUUUCUCUCUGUCACUGUGUUUUAUUGCAAGUGGGAAUGGGAGCGGAGCCAAGGAGGAGGGAGAGCGGACUCGGGUUACUCAACAGGGAAGUUUCUUGGCUGAAAAGUUAGUCUUCCCAACGCGGUGACCUGUGCCAGAGCCUCCCCUGUGACAGCAAAGGGCACAGGCGGAACCACCCACAGCGCUGCGGAAAGGUGCAGAGACGCCCUGGGCGUGGUCUCCUGCGCUGGCUGGGCUGAGGCUUCCUGUCUUGUUCAGAAAAAGGAAGAGCCGGAGUGAGUGUGCGCGUGUGAGCUCCACACUGUGUGUAAAAGCAAUGCGGGGUCCGUGAGGAAAAACUGGAGAAUAAAAUAAAACUGGCCUAGGGUUCUGUCGCCUGCUGUGACCGCGCUCAGCACCCUGUUGCAAGCCCUUCCGAGCAGUUUGCCAGGCCUGAGUGGUGAGCUUCCCACCUGACAUGGCACCUGUUUCCCCAGGACAGCCCUCAUCCUUCCCGUCCCGGGUGCUCUGGUACCUCCCUCAGGCCGGUCUCCAUCCUUAGCAUCACCCGCCUCCUACCAGAGACGUGAUUUAUCAUGUGCUGUCUCCCAGCGAGUCCCCUGCAUCUUCUUCAGAUGCCCUGAGCCUUCCAUAAAGCCACCUCUUUGCUUAUGCAUUCAGAUCCCUUUUAGCAAUUGCCUGGGAAAGCCUCAAACCUUAAACAAUGGAACGGCCUUCCAGUCCCAGGGGAAGCUGGAGGACAGUCAGCCUCAGAGCCAACUCCUCCAACAGAGCAGCCCAGGGACAAGUUGGGGGUGCUCCCGACCCUGGGCCUCUCGGAGACCCUCUGCCCAGAAUUCUGUUCCCUGAGCUGUCUUCUGUGGCUGCCCUUGACCAUCAGCUCUUCCGUCAGGGCUCACUAAACGCAGCAAAAACAUCUGCCGUUGGUCUCCAUGCCCCAUGCAGGAGUGAUAGAGACAUUCAUCUCUCUUUCCUUUUAGCCUGUAGGGUUUCUCACAUAGUAAAUGCUCAAUAAAUACCUUCUAAAUGAAAGAAUACACAAAUGAAAACACUCUACUUUCCCCUCUUCUCCAGCUCACCAAGGUCUUUCACCUACAGUGUCAUAUUUGAUUCUUCUAGCACAUCUCUGUGAUGUGACUGGGGACAGUGUUUCAGCUAUUUUAUGUAUGCUCUCAGCACCCUGGGGCGGGGGAAACUGAGGCUCACUGUGACCCCUGACCUGUGUGUUUCCCACACUGGCCACCAACACAGCUCUCAGAGUGGAAGGUGCUGUCAUCCCCAGAUUUCCUGGGACACUGUGGCCGAACAUGUCCUAUGGAAGCAUGGCAUUUCUAUCAAGUCUCCAAAAUUCAUCGUGAAACUAUCUCGAAAUCUGUGCAGACUGAGCGCUUUGCUCCCUUACCUGUCUGCUUCGAUACUCUCUUUCUCAACAACUUACCAAUUUUCUAUAAAUUAUCUAGCUCUCCGUCUCCCCUUCCCUCAAGUAAAGCCGCCACCCCAGAAAAUGCCUGCUGCUCACCUUGAGAUGCCCACAGCCUUCCUGCACCCCCAGCGUCUCGGAGGGGCCGUACAAACCCAAUCACAGAAGCAACAGGCUGGUCCGCUCUGUCCGCCAAAGCCAGGGCUCAAUGGAGUUGCCCCUCGUUCGUCCGUAGGUGGGACAAGAGGCACCAAUGGCUGUUUCCGGUCAAGUUCAUGAGCAGGGGGCCAGCUCUGAGGUUCCCCUCCGAGGUCUGGGGUCCGCGCAGGUUUGAAGACAUUUUACCAGCAACAUUGAAGGAAACUCUCCCCAACGCUCCCAGACACCUCACCACACACCCACUGCCAUGUGCGUCCAAACGAACAGAGGCAACUAAGGGAAGAGAAAGCUUCAUGUCAUCUGAACUCCUGGACCCGCCUGCUCAGCCCCUCAGAGACCUGUGCCACAGUCCGAGGGCAACAAUGGCAACAUGGGAAACACCGAAAGCCUCAACAACCUGUUUUGAUUGAUUUCCCGGAAAAUUGCUGUGCAAUAGCAAGAAUACUGUGUCGUGGUGAGGACGUAAACCACAGACACGCGGCAAGGUCGCGAGCUCCAAAGGCUGAGUUCGGGAAGCACGUACUUGACUUCUUCGGAUGCUUAUCUUCAUUUGAAUCAUCUUUUGUUUCCUCGGAUGUUGAUGCCCCCAAACCGGGUCCCCUUCUUCUGGAGACACCACGCCUGCCGCUAAUUUACGAGGCUGCGCGAAAUCCCAAAAUUACAGAACAUAAUAAACAUGAAAACCAGUGCACAAAGCGUUUAACAUUUCAUCAGUCACUACCUGGGUCUCUGGUUGUUUACGGGUGGGAUGGACAUAGGGAGACUGAAGGUUUGAAGGGAGAGUUCUGUGUAGAAAUUGUCCCCUCUAGACUAAAGCCAUUUUCCAAGAGUUCUGACUUGGGAAAU
Long non-coding RNA from Artibeus jamaicensis (Jamaican fruit-eating bat), 3602 nucleotides. RefSeq lists it as uncharacterized. The transcript is spliced from 3 exons. Lineage: Eukaryota; Metazoa; Chordata; Mammalia; Chiroptera; Phyllostomidae. The record is from RefSeq and is a predicted model, not a curated record.